Long non-coding RNA from Thunnus maccoyii (southern bluefin tuna), 1696 nucleotides. RefSeq lists it as uncharacterized. The record is from RefSeq and is a predicted model, not a curated record. The transcript is spliced from 3 exons. Lineage: Eukaryota; Metazoa; Chordata; Actinopteri; Scombriformes; Scombridae.
GCUGAAAACCUCCAACAAAAAGGACCAGAUGUGAUGAACAGGUUGCUGCACACGCCUGCAUCUCAAACCCCAUUGAGGAAACCGUAACACAACACAGUGAGGCACAUCAUCACACAGGCAAGCAUGAAGAGGAACUGAAGACUCUAAAGGAGAAACUAGCAGAAUAGAAACAGGAAAAUCUGAAGAUUGAACUCUAAAAGAACUUCAAAAUGCUGCAAGAAAUACAAGAUUUAGUAUUUACAUUUCACAUAAUUUACAGAGUGUCAGCGCACUCCGUACUCCUGGGUAGACUACAUGUAUGACUUAGUCAACUGUCACAGAGAUGUGAUUUAACAUGCCUGCUAACUUUAAACAGGACUUCCCAAAUACAUUUGCAAUACUGGACUGUACAGAACCGAAGAUAGAGAGGCCCAGCUUAUUACUGCUAAAGAGUCAGACAUAUUAUACAUAGAAGUCUACCAACACACUUAAGUCUCUAGUUGCCUGUGAUCCAUGUGGUGCAGUUCUGUUUGUGUCUGCCCUCUUCACUGGAUCAAUCUCAGACAAAGAGAUCUUUAAUCAGUAUAAUAUAGAGCUACUGCAGGGCUGUACUCAGUGUGGCUACUUUAAAGUUGGAGAUGGAUUAAUGACUGAAAAGGGUUUUCUGAUUGAGAAAUAAGUGGACAAAAUUGGUCUCAAACUGAACAGUCCACAUUUUGCCAGAUCCAACCGUCAGAUGCCACAUGCAGAUGUUGAGAUGACCAAAAAAAUCACAAAGCACAGAGUUCAUGUGGAAAGAGGAUUUGCCAAAAUUAAAAAAAAGUUAAGAUUGUUUCUGGUAGAAAUCCAACAUCCCGUCUUGGAAACAUAAAUCAGAUAUGGUAGGUGGUUAGCGUGCUGUCCAACUUCCAACCACACAUUAUCAAAGGCAGGUGAUCUAAGUGCUCUACAUUCAAAAUGAGGGGAUUUCCCUCAAUAUAUUUCUGAGGUUUGAAUAAAGGGUGAUGGUGGGUGAUGUGAGAUAAACGGUUAAUCAAAAUACAGACUUCCAGCAACUUCAAACUGUCCAUUAAAUCCUUUAUGUGAAUUUUGAGAUAUACUUGCCAUGUUUAGGUUGCAUUUUAAACUACCUUUUGACUGUAAUUGAAAUACUUAAUGUCCUAUGUCAGGUUUAAUCUAUUCAUUUACCUGGUGGCUCAAACCACUUCCAAGGGGGCACUGUGGGGGAAAUAUUAAUGUUCCCCAAGUCAUUCUCUUGUCAUCUUCUAUCCUGGGAGCAGUAGUCAUGACCUGUCUCUUUCAGAGCAGUUCAUCUUUCUGCCUACUGAGGUUGGCUGGGAUAAGCAGCUGUCUUGGUAAGGCUGGCUGUGUCCUAUGGCAACCAAGGUCGGGUGGAGAUAUGCUGUGCUUUGUGCAGACGGUUAGACUGGUCUUCUUGUAGAAUGGAUAGCAUGUGACCUGUGUACAGACUACGUUACUUCAGAUAACUUUUAGUCAGCAUAAUGUCUUGUUUAUAGUUCAAUACCCAAUAGAGACAUAGAUGAGUGAAGAAUAACCUUAUUUGGACAGGUAGUAAGGGUAAGGAUUUGGUGAAUAGUUUAAAUAACUCUUGCCCAGAAGUAGACCACAGAAUUGAGUGGCAUUGCACAGUCUUUUCACUUGUAUUGUAACUCUGUUCUUCUCGAUUUAGCUUCAAUAAAUGUUCCUGCUUAAGACA